CCUGGAAUUGUGGAUGAAGAUGUCCUUGCUUUUGUUUGAAUGUCUUUGUCCUCAUUAUUUUCCUUUUCCAUCAGGCUCACCUUUUCUUCCACGUCCUUGAGAGUUUCAAAUCUGCCUUCUUCCCUCUCUUCUUCACCAGGUAUAUUCUCUGUUUCAGUCCCAAACAUGCCCUUUUUUUCAUCCAUCGUGACAGCCUGCUGUUGGGUAUGAGGGUUCUCUGACAUUUUCACAUCAUGUCGUAGCUGUACCAGCUGCAGACGAUGAAGCAGUUGCUCACCUUGUUGGAUAUCAGUAGAUAUUUUCCUACUUCCAUCCUCUUGCUCCCCCAUUGUCUCUCUUUCUUCAGAACCUUUGGAGCUGGAUAGCACUUGCAUUUCUGUGCUGCCGCUUUCUUUCCUCACACAGUCAUACUUUAUGAGGUUAUAGUCCAAAGAUGUACGGUCAUCAUGCUCUUCAUUGUCUUUGUCCGUAUCUGCUUGGAAGUCAGCAGCCUGUGUCUGACUGGUUGCUGUAUUGGUCCUGUUUUGGUUGCAUUUGCAGAGCUCGAAAUCAUCAUCAGAAUUUGCCUCCACACUCUCAACAGCUAUACUUUCUCUUAAUAGUUUUGAGUCUGUUUCAUCAAAAUCACCAAUGUCCUUGUGUUUUAUUUUGUCUCCUUCUUUGUCUAAAUGGAUCUGAUUCUCAGAAUGUGUUUGUUUUGGGUAAUUGUCUUCCUCUGUAUUGGCUUCCCAGCAGUUUCCCUGUUCUUCACUUACAAUUACAAUGUCCUCAGGUUUGUCAUCCUCUGUUGCGUUAUUCCCGUAAGGUCUUCCAUCUGUAUCAUAACUAGUUUCCAUCAGACAACCAGUCACGUCCAUGGAUUGCUGUUCUUGAUAAGUUGGUGGAGAGGAGUCUUGUUCAUUGGAUAUGUUGGCCAUAGACAACGGCACUGUACUUGCAGUCACCUCUUCAUCCAGCUCGUUUCGUGCUACCAUUAACUGCUCCUCACUAUGAGCGAUGUAGCCGUGCGAGGUGGAGGAGGAGGUGGUUGAGGGAUGAAGACAUCAUCUGCACCUUCAUCAUCCAUCACACUGCAGUACCUCAUUAUAGCAGUGGGAGCAGCAGAGGUCAUUGUGAUUUCGUCUUGUGGCCUUUCACCAGAGGUCGCUGAAGGACUCUCUGUGUGGUUGCUCACAUGGUUUGAAUCCAUCUUCAUCCACAGACCACUAUCAUCAUCAGAGAGCAGAAUUUGAGGGCUGCGUCUAGGACCUCUUCCUUCCAUGUUGAAAGGUCUUUGAAGCAGUUUGUGGUGUUCUGUCUGCGUUGCC
Molecule: long non-coding RNA, 1307 nt
Organism: Oreochromis aureus
Lineage: Eukaryota; Metazoa; Chordata; Actinopteri; Cichliformes; Cichlidae
Source: Ensembl